Molecule: non-coding RNA, 230 nt
Organism: Pelobates cultripes (western spadefoot toad)
Lineage: Eukaryota; Metazoa; Chordata; Amphibia; Anura; Pelobatidae
Source: the annotation of a GenBank genome assembly
GCCACCCCGAAGAAAAAGAGCCUUAGUUAUGCCAUCCUGCCAGCCCAGGGUCAACAGAUCCCAACCAACUGCCGAGAGAUGGACUCCAUCCGAGCGGUAGUACCCUGGCAAACCACCUUCCAACUCGCUGUGUCGAACUACCACGCCCCCUAGCUUCCGCACGAAGCUUGCCAUCAAGCUAUUCACUUUCUUCCUACAUCUGUCAAUAGCCUCCGGGUCCCUAGCAUGCC